UACGGAGGAUGCGAGCGUUAUCCGGCUUUAUUGGGUUUAAAGGGUGCGCAGGCGGAUUUUUAAGUCAGCGGUCAAAUCGUGGGGCUCAACCCCAUCCAGCCGUUGAAACUGGGGAUCUAGAGUGUGCGAGAGGUAUGCGGAAUGCGUGGUGUAGCGGUGAAAUGCAUAGAUAUCACGCAGAACCCCGAUUGCGAGGGCAGCCUGCCAAGCCAUGACUGACGCUGAUGCACGAAAGCGUGGGGAUCGAACAGG
RNAcentral lists this ribosomal RNA (252 nucleotides) under uncultured Bacteroidales bacterium. Its description in RNAcentral is "partial 16S ribosomal RNA". It matches the Rfam family "Bacterial small subunit ribosomal RNA", at positions 524 to 776 of the family's 1533-position model. Lineage: Bacteria; Pseudomonadati; Bacteroidota; Bacteroidia; Bacteroidales. The record is from RNAcentral.